UAUGACGUGCCUGAGAUAAAGGAUUAUUAUGAUAGAAUAAAUUAUGUAGAAAGAAAAUCUACCUUCAUUG
This 70-nucleotide transfer RNA is filed under the name Eupteryx gracilirama. RNAcentral describes it as "tRNA-Ile". The record is from RNAcentral. Lineage: Eukaryota; Metazoa; Arthropoda; Insecta; Hemiptera; Cicadellidae.